RNAcentral lists this ribosomal RNA (89 nucleotides) under Kosakonia sp. AG348. The record is from RNAcentral. Lineage: Bacteria; Pseudomonadati; Pseudomonadota; Gammaproteobacteria; Enterobacterales; Enterobacteriaceae.
CCUGACCCCAUGCCGAACUCAGAAGUGAAACGCCGUAGCACCGAUGGUAGUGUGGGGUCUCCCCAUGCGAGAGUAGGGAACUGCCAGGC